Long non-coding RNA from Populus euphratica (Euphrates poplar), 375 nucleotides. RefSeq lists it as uncharacterized. The transcript is spliced from 3 exons. The record is from RefSeq and is a predicted model, not a curated record. NCBI's taxonomy places the organism in Eukaryota, Viridiplantae, Streptophyta, Magnoliopsida, Malpighiales, Salicaceae.
ACAGGAGGGCGACUAGUUCUAUUUCUGAUCAAUACAUAUCAUUCUAAUUCAUGAUAGUUAUAAAAAGCAUCUACAUAUAUAUAUCUCAGCUCCAGAGAAGAUCCAUUGCAGAGCAAGGUUUGAGCUUCAAACAAGUAUUUGAUAUAUAACUUGGUUUGUUUUUUCUGUGCUUCAAUGUCAAACCCUAUGAGUCGUUGGGACCCUUUAAUCGUUCAAAUCGACGAAAAGCUUAGAGCGCCUUCUAAUCACUCAACAUGCAGUAUUUUCAAGGUUCCUAAUCGACUCCGCCAUGUAAACCAAAGGGCAUUUGAGCCGGAAAUCCUCUCCAUCGGCCCUUAUCAUCGUGGAAAAGAUAAAUUGAAGAUGAUGGAAGAA